CUCCCGCGUGCCCCCUGUUCCGCGCGCGCAACCUCGGCGGGGAUCCCGGCGCGGCGCGGCCGCACCCCGCGACAGGAGCCCGCGCAGAGCUUUUCCUAACCUCGCCGCUCGCGGACGUUCACGGUUCGCUCGUUGGACGUUCGGCCUUCGGACGCGACCGUCGUCGUAUAGAUCGCGUCGGGGUUCGUUCGCAGAGGAUUCGCGCCCGGAACACGGAUCACCCGCCCUUGGACGGUGAGUUUGAGUUCGAUUUUGCUGUCCCAUGUUGCUGACGACAAGAAUUACUAUCGUGUCUCAAGCCUCCUCUACUUUGUGUACGUGUUCAUUUUAUUUUUCAUCCCGUGCUGUAUACACGUGAAAUGCUGAUGAGGAAAUAAGUUUUAGAAUGCUCCUACAGAGUGUUUGCCGUCAAUAAAAUGUCAGGGAAAAUUGUCGGGUUACCUUUAUUUGCUGUCUAGAAUGGAUCCGACGGUUCGAACAACAAAUUUUGCGUAAUAGCCAUUUCAAAUUAUGUCUUUUUUUGCAUACUGGCAUACAUUUCU
Molecule: long non-coding RNA, 542 nt
Filed under: Bemisia tabaci
Lineage: Eukaryota; Metazoa; Arthropoda; Insecta; Hemiptera; Aleyrodidae
Description: lncRNA ENSSSA1UGG000841
Source: RNAcentral